This 135-nucleotide ribosomal RNA is filed under the name Sorex araneus (European shrew). Lineage: Eukaryota; Metazoa; Chordata; Mammalia; Eulipotyphla; Soricidae. The record is from RNAcentral.
GUCUACGGCCAUACCACCCUGAACACGCCCAAUCUCGUCUGAUCUCGGAAGCUAAGCAGGGUCGGGCCUGGUUAGUACUUGGAUGGGAGAAAUAUUCAAUCCUGCCAACUCGUCAGAAUGUCCAUGUGAAGGAUC